CUAGAGUGAUGGGCUCCGAAGCUAACGCGAUAAAUCGACCGCCUGGGGAGUACGGCCGCAAGGUUAAAACUCAAAUGAAUUGACGGGGGCCCGCACAAGCGGUGGAGCAUGUGGUUUAAUUCGAUGCAACGCGAAGAACCUUACCUGGUCUUGACAUCCAUAGAAUUCUGCAGAGAUGUGGGAGUGCCUUCGGGAACUAUGAGACAGGUGCUGCAUGGCUGUCGUCAGCUCGUGUUGUGAAAUGUUGGGUUAAGUCCCGCAACGAGCGCAACCCUUAUUCUUUGUUGCCAGCGAUUUGGUCGGGAACUCAAAGGAGACUGCCGUUGAUAAAGCGGAGGAAGGUGGGGACGACGUCAAGUCAUCAUGGCCCUUACGACCAGGGCUACACACGUGCUACAAUGGCGUAUACAAAGGGAAGCGAAGGUGCGAGCUGGAGCGGAUCUCAUAAAGUACGUCUAAGUUCGGAUUGGAGUCUGCAACUCGACUCCAUGAAGUCGGAAUCGCUAGUAAUCGUAGAUCAGAAUGCUACGGUGAAUACGUUCCCGGGCCUUGUACACACCGCCCGUCACACCAUGGGAGUGGGUUGCACCAGAAGUAGAUAGCUUAACCGCGAGGGGGGCGUUUACCACGGUGUGAUUCAUGACUGGGGUGAAGUCGUAACAAGGUAACCA
RNAcentral lists this ribosomal RNA (671 nucleotides) under uncultured Enterobacteriaceae bacterium. Its description in RNAcentral is "bacterial SSU rRNA". It matches the Rfam family "Bacterial small subunit ribosomal RNA", at positions 831 to 1502 of the family's 1533-position model. The record is from RNAcentral. Lineage: Bacteria; Pseudomonadati; Pseudomonadota; Gammaproteobacteria; Enterobacterales; Enterobacteriaceae.